Molecule: small nuclear RNA, 18 nt
Filed under: Arabidopsis thaliana (thale cress)
Lineage: Eukaryota; Viridiplantae; Streptophyta; Magnoliopsida; Brassicales; Brassicaceae
Description: snRNA_16859
Source: RNAcentral
ACUUCUCUAAAGUCUUCC